Molecule: long non-coding RNA, 711 nt
Organism: Ictalurus punctatus (channel catfish)
Lineage: Eukaryota; Metazoa; Chordata; Actinopteri; Siluriformes; Ictaluridae
Exons: 3
Source: RefSeq, a predicted model, not a curated record
ACACACACAAACACACACACACACAAACACAAACACACACACACACACACACACACAGUUUCCUCUGAAAUGAAAGUGAAAUUUGAGUGAUUUAAGAAGCGGAAGUCGAUCGGUCGAGCUGUAAUGACUGGGGACAGGAGCAGAGCUGGUAAAAGAGUUCAGGGUAGAUCCUAUAAAGAUGCUGCUGUUAUUAAUUUACCCGCAGACUUUAAUAAGACUCCGCCUCCAAAUCCUAGAUUGCAGCAGCUAACUAAGUCCCUGACAGAACUUUUGAUGCAGCAGCCAGAUGGUAUCAGUCUGAACGAAGCUCGCAGGUCCUGUCCUCUUCUCUCCGACCCCGAACUGCUGAAAGAUCAUCCGUCCGUCCGGCACCUGCUCCUCUCCAUGCCAGCGGUCGUGUUUCUGGAAGGGUUUGGUGUUCAAGCACGCCUCUUUCCUCCUCCCAAAAAUAGCUGAUGGAAGAUCUAACCCUGUUUACGUUAAAUAUUUUGCAUCAAACCAAUCUUUUUAAGUCUUUCUCUUGAAUUCUUCAUUCUUUCUCUUUAGUUUUUCUUACUUUGAAUGUAAAAAAAUAUAAUGAAUGAAGGCACAUACAACAGUUUCAUUAUCGCAUGUUGUUGCCAUAUGGCAACAAUUACAUUUUACCAUUUAACAGAAUACUCAAAAUAUAAAAACUUGUAUAAUGGCAAAAAUAAAUCUUAACUUAUCUCA